GCAGUACAAAUGCCCAAGCUGCAGCUCCAAGAGACCUAGGCAGUAGCAGCGCCGCCUCCUUUUGGCGGGGGACGGCCCCCACGGAUGGGGGCCUUGAAGCAGCAGCAGCAGCGGUUGAGACUUUAGACUCCUUGUGCAAGGCUAACUACUACCGUCUUGCUAUGUUUACUGUACCUUUCGUUUCAGGUUUACAUAUGGUGAUGAUGCUAAUGCUUGUGAGGGAAGAUGACACACAUAUUCAAAACCUUCUAACGUUUCCAUGUCCUGAAGAGGAGUCAAAGGUGUAUGUUGCCGGGAAGGGAUAGUAGAAUGAUGAAAAUAUGUGUAACUUUUCAUGGGAAGUUCAUGUUCCAAUAAUCCGAGAGGUUUAUUUAUACUAUUCUAUCUAUGUUAAUAUAUGUAUUAUUAGUCUGUUCAGCUGUCAUGUGGAACCUGUUGUGAAAUAACAAUUUUGGUUAUCCUAAAAAAGCACACAAU
Molecule: long non-coding RNA, 477 nt
Filed under: Triticum aestivum (bread wheat)
Lineage: Eukaryota; Viridiplantae; Streptophyta; Magnoliopsida; Poales; Poaceae
Description: long non-coding RNA (TAES_LNC015858)
Source: RNAcentral